This 3519-nucleotide long non-coding RNA is filed under the name Mytilus galloprovincialis (Mediterranean mussel). The record is from RNAcentral. Lineage: Eukaryota; Metazoa; Mollusca; Bivalvia; Mytilida; Mytilidae.
AUUUAUUCUCUUUAAUCUAAUAUACAUAUUUACAACCAAAAAUCCACAAGUUUUAAGUACAACAUAUAUACCCAACAAUGAUUACAUAUAUACAAUGUACAGUUGAAUGGUUUGUUUCCUUUCCCUAUUUGUUCAUUGAAAUAAAGAUUGAUUUCAAGAUCAUAGUGAUACUUUCACGAUUUUAUCUGUUUUAUUAAUUUCAUUAAAAAAGGAACCCUUUAGAAAAAGUAAAAUUACUCUACAGUUAAGUGUCAACUGAAAUGUAUGACUAAUCACAUUAAUAACUUACGUAUGGCACGUAGACAAUAAAAAUUCUAAAACAUAGCCCGUUAGAAUUAUUUAAAAACAAUAUUUGAGAGUGCAAAUAGCCAUUUGCAUUGAUCUGCAGCCAAAAGAUCUAAAAAAAAAAAAAAAAUAUAGCUCCUUUUCCUUAUAAAUUGCAUGUAUAUGACACAUUAAAGUUUAAUUAUUUAAAAAUAGACUUAUAGCUAUUUUUAUUUUGAAAGUAUAAUGCACAUGAUAUGUGUUUAGAUAAAUUGUUUAUCUAUAUAAAAUGUAGUCUACAUUCUGGUUUUUAUUUUAAGAAAUUAGGUUUACAUGUAAAUAACUGCACAUGUCUAAAGCCAUAAUAAACCUGGUAAAUCAAAACAAAAUUUCAGAUCGUAUCAUAAUACACAAAAACAAAUAUAAAGUUAUGCACAAUAUUUGUAAAUGAGACAUCAACCCUAUACCGUUAUUGUUAUACAUUAAAAAAGGAAGAAAUAUAUCUAAAAGACAAACUAGAUCAAUCAACAAAAGACUAAUACCUUCACAAUAUGCCAUGCUCUAAUUUGUCUGGGCAAGUUGUGGUGGGAAAAAGCAUACAAAGAUCCACAUCUCACCAAUAACUUCUUUUUACAACUCAUCAUUUUACAUUUUUGAUGGGCAUUUUUAUCUAAAGAGACUGCAAUUAAAUUAUUUGUUCUUUAAAUGGUAUCCUAAGUCUGUUGACGAUAUAAUUGUGAAAUUACAAACAAUACAAAAAGAAAUGCAAAAAUGAAAUGCAACAAAUAAUCAAUUACAAAUGUUAACAUAUUAUCUACUAGUAUAUUGUGAGGGACAUCAGUAAUCUUGAAUACUGAACACCAAUAUAAAUACAACACAUGAUAACUAUCCAAUAAUGCUCUCUUUAUGAAUGUUAAUACGAUAUAGCUCUUUUAAAGCAUAAAUAAAUAUUAUGACAGUUUGGUCGUGUAUCAUUUUUUCAGUUAAAAAAUUUCCUUCAGGUUUUUAACAAACUGCAGUACUUGCUAAGGACAUAUUUUUGAUUCAGUAACUGAUCCACACUUAAAUAGAUUGAAUGUUGAUUGUUGCUAUUUUUAGACAUUAUAUAUAUAUAUUUAUAUAAAUGUAUAUGUAUAUUUGCUAACUUGCACAAUUCUUUUUUUGCAACCUUUGCAGUAUGAAUGAAAUUUAUCGACCUUAGUUCAACUUCAAUUGUGUUUUUUUAAGAAUGUGCAAUUUCUCAAUAAUGAACUCCAAACUAAAAAAAAAGGCAUAACAAUUUUGAGUCUAUUUAAAAAUUCUGCUACUAUAUAUAUAUAUAUAUAUAUAUAUUAGCUUACAACUUCCCAUUGUGCAAAUUUGAUUUGAUUUGCAAUCAACAUAAAAAAAUUGCCAAAAAAACAUUGAUUGUAAUAGCUUUUCUGAUACUUUAAAGGUAUUGCAUUAUCAAUUUUUAUGAUCAAAACGAUACAUCAUGUCCAUUGUAAAGGGUUGACACAGGGGUUAUCUUUAUGUAUUACCCUCUCCCACCGUGGUUAGGUUGUUACAAUGAAACCCACAAGAACUGUAGUGUAUUCAUAAAUUCAAUCAUCUCCAUUUACACAUGCUACAGCACAGAGACUUCUAAAAAUUUAGUUGGGAUGGAAGGUUCAGUUUAAAAAAUAUCAUUAUUUGAUAUGGAUAUUGUCCCCAAAUCUUUUAAAACCAUAAAAUUAUGAAUCCACUUUCCAAAAUAUUGAGUUAAACUUGUGUGACAUACAAAGAUAAAAAAGAAAAGUAUUAAUUAUUUUAUUCAAAAUUAACAAUAAAAUGAACAACAGCUUCUAAAAAUGUGUGAUUUCUAAACUUAUUUCAAAUACAAUUAUCAACUGUUUUCAAAACUUGAUCUCUUUUUUAUAACAUUAUGUACAACGACGCAAAAAAUAAUGAAAUAAGAAAUCAAACUAUGCAGAAUCUAUGAAGCAAAUGUAAUAACUUUCUCCAGACCGCUUUUCGCAACGUCUUCUUCCUUUUCAAAGGGAGGUAAUUCCAUCAUUAUCUGACUGCAGUUGUUAUCUCACCACAAAUCAAUCAUUGUUUGUUAGGGUUAAACUUACCUCCAAAUAAAUAAAAAUCCUAUCAGACAUGCCUUGAGACUACUUAACCUGAAUUCAGCCAUCUCCACUGGAAACAAUGUUAUGUCAUAGUACCCUAUAAUUCAGGGGGAUCAGUCUUUUCCCCUUAAUUACUGUGGGUAGCUCCACUCAAAUGUAACUUCAAGACUCAAUAUUUAAGAUAAAAGAUAAUGAAAUGACCAAUCGGUUCCUUCUCAUUUUGUGCCACUGUUUGAAAGUAGAAAUGUCGUUGGUAGCCCACAAGAUUCUGCUCCUUUUUGGAAUUUUAACCCUUUUGCGCCCCUCCAACUAUUGACAAUUUGCCAUGACAGAACUGGUCAUUUGUAAUGAUCUCCUAGCCGAAUUUCGUAAAAAGGUUAUUAUUUUGAGCAAAGAUAUAAAGAUAAGUAUUAACCCUUAAUAUUUUACUAUACAUCUCACAAACAGUCAUAUAAUGAGAGGGGGGAAAAUCUGUCAAAUAUUUAACACGAUAAACAAAGUUAUGGAAAAUUGGGCUCUCUUUUUCUUCAAUCAAGACUUCAACCCUUUUAUCUAACAAUACUGUCUUCUCUAAUUUCAAUAUAAAUCUUAAAUCCAGUUGUUUAUCACCUUUUCUCAAUAACAAUAGACAAUAUUAAGGAUGCUGAACACUGUAAAUUCAGAAUUUAUUGCGUGCAUUGAUCAUUGCAAUUUGUCAUUUUAUACUAAUUUUUGUGAUAUUGAGAAAAAUCCUGUUUAAUUCAUAUAUUGUUUUUAAAAUGUGAGUUCAAAUUACUGCGAUUAUUACCCAGGUGAAAUUUUUCACAAUAAUAAAAAACAUCGUAAUAAUUUCUGAAUUUACAGUGAUUUACUUCAAUCAGUUAACAUACCUUUUUUAAAAAAAAGAAUAGCUGGCAAACAGACAUCUAUCACUCUAACUGGAACGUCUUUGCAAUGUCUAUAAAAUACAUACCUCAUUUAUCUAUCUCAAUUAUGAAGAAACUCCUAUGUUUAGUUCAUGUUUGACUUAGUUAAUUUCCUGAACUAAGAAUAUUUUGAAUAAUGUCAUUAAAAAAUAUGAAAUGUAAGAAUUUAAAAACAAUGAUUGAUUUAUGGUCCUGUUAGUAUCUUCUUCCACGGAAUCCACGUCCACGUCCUCUACCUCGUCCACGACCUUGACCUG